Molecule: ribosomal RNA, 450 nt
Filed under: uncultured bacterium
Lineage: Bacteria
Description: partial 16S ribosomal RNA
Rfam family: Bacterial small subunit ribosomal RNA
Source: RNAcentral
GUGGGGAAUUUUGGACAAUGGGCGCAAGCCUGAUCCAGCAAUGCCGCGUGCAGGAAGAAGGCCUUCGGGUUGUAAACUGCUUUUGUACGGAACGAAACGGUCCGGGUUAAUACCCUGGGCUAAUGACGGUACCGUAAGAAUAAGCACCGGCUAACUACGUGCCAGCAGCCGCGGUAAUACGUAGGGUGCAAGCGUUAAUCGGAAUUACUGGGCGUAAAGCGUGCGCAGGCGGUUUUGUAAGACAGGCGUGAAAUCCCCGGGCUCAACCUGGGAAUUGCGAUGGUGACUGCAAGGCUGGAGUGCGGCAGAGGGGGAUGGAAUUCCGCGUGUAGCAGUGAAAUGCGUAGAUAUGCGGAGGAACACCGAUGGCGAAGGCAAUCCCCUGGGCCUGCACUGACGCUCAUGCACGAAAGCGUGGGGAGCAAACAGGAUUAGAAACCCUUGUAGUCC